Molecule: long non-coding RNA, 1292 nt
Organism: Cuculus canorus (common cuckoo)
Lineage: Eukaryota; Metazoa; Chordata; Aves; Cuculiformes; Cuculidae
Exons: 3
Source: RefSeq, a predicted model, not a curated record
UUCUGUUAGGAAAAUUGUCAGGUAUUGUGAAGAAUAAGAAACACUUUCCUGUUGCUGGGCAUGUGCAAAGUGUUGGAGAUGGAGUCACAAAAGAGAGGUGUAUCAGUACUGCUAAAUCCCUCUAAAUGGAUUUAAAUUGCCAACAGUAUGUUUUAUUACUCAGCCUUCAUCCAACACAGCUAGCUGAACAAUAGGCCUGUGGGACAGGUUGCCUUGUGUUUGAUUGGACUUAAGAGCAAAGCACUGACCUGCAAGAAAUGCCAGUUUUCUGACAGAGGAGUAAACAUUCUCCCAAAGCAAAAGCUGCUGGAACACUUUUGACACUGUGCCUGUAGCUUGUCCACCGUAACAUCUCUGCAGCUUGCCCUUCCUCACAGCUGCUGAGUGUUGCAAGACUAAGGGACACAGAGAGCAGCUCUUCAGGUGCAGUAGUUCAGCUCUCUGCCACUAUGUUGUCCGAUUAAGCUUUUUUUGCAAGAUCUAGUUGUGCAUUGUAGCUGUAAAGCUGCCCACAAACCAUCCUCCAGGGUAUGGCACCUUGGGCUGAGCAUGCAAGCAUUUGUUCCUUCCUGAAGUUUUCUUUGGAAAGACUCAAUGAAGAUCAAAGAAUUCUGGGCAGUCAGCAGUCCACCCCAGGCUAUUGCAAGCUUUGCAUCCCACAGAAGCAUCAGGAACAGUCUCAGUUUGGGUAAGCGUAGGGGCUGGGGUUUUUCUUGCAGAGGCUCUGUGAUCUGCCUCCUGGCAAAACGUCUGGAACUGCAGCAGAACCUGCUAUUCCUUUAAAGUCCCGCUUCAGCUGCCGCCACAUAAGCAAAAGUAUACUGCAGCAACUUUCAGCCUAGGAAUCCUGCUUUACUUAGAAAAAAAGCUUGAGAAUGGAAAGGCUAGAAGACACCUCUGCUUCCUCCCAUCCUUCACCUCAGUUCCUCUCCAUACGAAACUGUAACACUGUAGUAUUUCAACUGAUCAAGAUGAAUCUAUCCCCAAAACCUCCAACCUGACUUACAAAAAGGACAAGCAACACAGUCAAGAGGCUUGCUUGGAAGUACUGCUUUUCAUUUUUAAUGCCAAAUGACGUGGUAUUUAAGAGAAGGAGAAGGAGAAGGAGAAGGAGAAGGAGAAGGAGAAGGAGAAGGAGAAGGAGAAGGAGAAGGAGAGGAAUUGUGAAUGGUAUAAGUGAAUCCUGUCUUCACAUCAGCUCCUACCUCCUAGAGGAAUUUACCCUUGGGCUUCAGGUUGGCUGAUGAGCGUAUUCCCUUGAGUAGCCUGAGAACCUAUCUCAACAUAUGAAA